RNAcentral lists this ribosomal RNA (429 nucleotides) under Actinomycetes bacterium. RNAcentral's name for it is "Actinobacteria bacterium partial 16S ribosomal RNA". It matches the Rfam family "Bacterial small subunit ribosomal RNA", at positions 355 to 776 of the family's 1533-position model. Lineage: Bacteria; Bacillati; Actinomycetota; Actinomycetes. The record is from RNAcentral. RNAcentral also lists the same sequence under 1 other name.
UAGGGAAUCUUCCGCAAUGGGCGAAAGCCUGACGGAGCAACGCCGCGUGAGUGAUGAAGGUCUUCGGAUCGUAAAACUCUGUUAUUAGGGAAGAACAAAUGUGUAAGUAACUAUGCACGUCUUGACGGUACCUAAUCAGAAAGCCACGGCUAACUACGUGCCGGCAGCCGCGGUAAUACGUAGGUGGCAAGCGUUAUCCGGAAUUAUUGGGCGUAAAGCGCGCGUAGGCGGUUUUUUAAGUCUGAUGUGAAAGCCCACGGCUCAACCGUGGAGGGUCAUUGGAAACUGGAAAACUUGAGUGCAGAAGAGGAAAGUGGAAUUCCAUGUGUAGCGGUGAAAUGCGCAGAGAUAUGGAGGAACACCAGUGGCGAAGGCGACUUUCUGGUCUGUAACUGACGCUGAUGUGCGAAAGCGUGGGGAUCAAACAGG